GACGAACGCUGGCGGCGUGCCUAAUACAUGCAAGUUGAGCGCUGAAGGUUGGUACUUGUACCAACUGGAUGAGCAGCGAACGGGUGAGUAACGCGUGGGGAAUCUGCCUUUGAGCGGGGGACAACAUUUGGAAACGAAUGCUAAUACCGCAUAAAAACUUUAAACACAAGUUUUAAGUUUGAAAGAUGCAAUUGCAUCACUCAAAGAUGAUCCCGCGUUGUAUUAGCUAGUUGGUGAGGUAAAGGCUCACCAAGGCGAUGAUACAUAGCCGACCUGAGAGGGUGGUCGGCCACAUUGGGACGGAGACACGGCCCAAACUCCUACGGGAGGCAGCAGUAGGGAAUCUUCGGCAAUGGACGAAAGUCUGACCGAGCAACGCCGCGUGAGUGAAGAAGGUUUUCGGAUCGUAAAACUCGGUUGGUAGAGAAGAACGUUGGUGAGAGUGGAAAGCUCAUCAAGUGACGGUAACUACCCAGAAAGGGACGGCUAACUACGUG
RNAcentral lists this ribosomal RNA (497 nucleotides) under uncultured bacterium. RNAcentral's name for it is "partial 16S ribosomal RNA". It matches the Rfam family "Bacterial small subunit ribosomal RNA", at positions 28 to 507 of the family's 1533-position model. The record is from RNAcentral.